UGUUGCGGUUAAAAAGCUCGUAGUCGGAGGUGUGUCUCGGACGGUCGGUUCGCCGCUUGUCGGUGCUCAACUGGCCGGUCCGGACGUCCUGCCGGUGGGGCCGCAAGGCUCCGUUAUCCUUCUUUGGUCCUCUUCACCGAGUGCCUUGGUGGGCCGGCACGUUUACUUUGAACAAAUUAGAGUGCUCAAAGCAGGCCGUUGGUCGCCUGAAUACUGUGUGCAUGGAAUAAUGGAAUAGGACCUCGGUUCCAUUUUGUUGGUUUUCAGAACUCGAGGUAAUGAUUAAUAGGGACGGACGGGGGCAUUCGUAUUGCGACGUUAGAGGUGAAAUUCUUGGAUCGUCGCAAGACGAACCGAUGCGAAAGCAUUUGCCAAGAACGUUUUCGUUGAUCAAGAACGAAAGUUAGAGGUUCGAAGGCGAUCAGAUACCGCCCUAGUUCUAACCAUAAACGAUGCCAGCUAGCCAUCCGCCGAAGUUCCUUCUAUGACUCGGCGGGCAGCUUCCGGGAAACCAAAGCUCUUGGGUUCCGGGGGAAGUAUGGUUGCAAAGCUCAAACUUAAAGGAAU
RNAcentral lists this ribosomal RNA (567 nucleotides) under Allocnemis abbotti. RNAcentral's name for it is "SSU rRNA". It matches the Rfam family "Eukaryotic small subunit ribosomal RNA", at positions 611 to 1153 of the family's 1831-position model. Lineage: Eukaryota; Metazoa; Arthropoda; Insecta; Odonata; Platycnemididae. The record is from RNAcentral.